Molecule: ribosomal RNA, 420 nt
Filed under: uncultured bacterium
Lineage: Bacteria
Description: bacterial SSU rRNA
Rfam family: Bacterial small subunit ribosomal RNA
Source: RNAcentral
AUAUUGGACAAUGGGCGAAAGCCUGAUCCAGCCAUGCCGCGUGUGUGAAGAAGGUCUUCGGAUUGUAAAGCACUUUAAGUUGGGAGGAAGGGCAUUAACCUAAUACGUUAGUGUUUUGACGUUACCGACAGAAUAAGCACCGGCUAACUCUGUGCCAGCAGCCGCGGUAAUACAGAGGGUGCAAGCGCUAAUCGGAAUUACUGGGCGUAAAGCGCGCGUAGGUGGUUUGUUAAGUUGGAUGUGAAAGCCCCGGGCUCAACCUGGGAACUGCAUCCAAAACUGGCAAGCUAGAGUACGGUAGAGGGUGGUGGAAUUUCCUGUGUAGCGGUGAAAUGCGUAGAUAUAGGAAGGAACACCAGUGGCGAAGGCGGCCCCCUGGACAAAGACUGACGCUCAGGUGCGAAAGCGUGGGGAGCAAAC